AGAGUUUGAUUCUGGCUCAGGAUGAACGCUGGCGGCGUGCUUAACACAUGCAAGUCGAACGAAGCACUUUAUUUGAUUUCCUUCGGGACUGAUUAUUUUGUGACUGAGUGGCGGACGGGUGAGUAACGCGUGGGUAACCUGCCUUGUACAGGGGGAUAACAGUUGGAAACGGCUGCUAAUACCGCAUAAGCGCACAGCAUCGCAUGAUGCAGUGUGAAAAACUCCGGUGGUAUAAGAUGGACCCGCGUUGGAUUAGCUAGUUGGUGAGGUAACGGCCCACCAAGGCGACGAUCCAUAGCCGACCUGAGAGGGUGACCGGCCACAUUGGGACUGAGACACGGCCCAAACUCCUACGGGAGGCAGCAGUGGGGAAUAUUGCACAAUGGGCGAAAGCCUGAUGCAGCGACGCCGCGUGAGCGAAGAAGUAUUUCGGUAUGUAAAGCUCUAUCAGCAGGGAAGAUAAUGACGGUACCUGACUAAGAAGCACCGGCUAAAUACGUGCCAGCAGCCGCGGUAAUACGUAUGGUGCAAGCGUUAUCCGGAUUUACUGGGUGUAAAGGGAGCGCAGGCGGUGCGGCAAGUCUGAUGUGAAAGCCCGGGGCUCAACCCCGGUACUGCAUUGGAAACUGUCGUACUAGAGUGUCGGAGGGGUAAGCGGAAUUCCUAGUGUAGCGGUGAAAUGCGUAGAUAUUAGGAGGAACACCAGUGGCGAAGGCGGCUUACUGGACGAUAACUGACGCUGAGGCUCGAAAGCGUGGGGAGCAAUCAGGAUUAGAUCCCCUGGUAGUCCNCGCCGUAAACGAGAAAAAUAGGUUGUUGGGGAAGCAUUGCUUUUCGGUGCCGUCGCAAACGCAGUAAGUAUUCCACCUGGGGAGUACGUUCGCAAGAAUGAAACUCAAAGGAAAUGACGGGGACCCGCACAAGCGGUGGAGCAUGUGGUUUAAUUCGAAGCAACGCGAAGAACCUUACCAAGUCUUGACAUCCUUCUGACCGGUACUUAACCGUACCUUCUCUUCGGAGCAGGAGUGACAGGUGGUGCAUGGUUGUCGUCAGCUCGUGUCGUGAGAUGUUGGGUUAAGUCCCGCAACGAGCGCAACCCUUAUCUUUAGUAGCCAGCGGUCCGGCCGGGCACUCUAGAGAGACUGCCAGGGAUAACCUGGAGGAAGGCGGGGAUGACGUCAAAUCAUCAUGCCCCCUAUGACUUGGGCUACACACGUGCUACAAUGGCGUAAACAAAGGGAAGCAAAGCUGUGAAGCCGAGCAAAUCUCAAAAAUAACGUCUCAGUUCGGACUGUAGUCUGCAACCCGCCUACACGAAACUGGAAUUGCUAGUAAUCGCAGAUCAGAAUGCUGCGGUGAAUA
Molecule: ribosomal RNA, 1362 nt
Filed under: uncultured bacterium
Lineage: Bacteria
Description: 16S ribosomal RNA
Rfam family: Bacterial small subunit ribosomal RNA
Source: RNAcentral